RNAcentral lists this ribosomal RNA (330 nucleotides) under uncultured eukaryote. RNAcentral describes it as "partial 18S ribosomal RNA". It matches the Rfam family "Eukaryotic small subunit ribosomal RNA", at positions 1470 to 1796 of the family's 1831-position model. The record is from RNAcentral.
CCCUUAGAUGUUCGGGGCCGCACGCGCGCUACACUGAAGGAAUCAGCACGUCUUUCUCCUUGUCCGAAAGGACUGGGUAACUCGCUGAACCUCCUUCGUGCUAGGGAUUGGGGCUUGUAAUUCUUCCCCAUGAACGAGGAAUUCCCAGUAAGCGCGAGUCAUAAGCUCGCGUUGAUUACGUCCCUGCCCUUUGUACACACCGCCCGUCGCUACUACCGAUUGGAUGGUUUAGUGAGAUCCUCGGAUUGGUCCCGGAGCGGCCUCUGGUCGUGCCGGAGUGCCGAAAAGAAUGUCGAACUUGAUCAUCUAGAGGAAGUAAAAGUCGUAACA